GACGAACGCUGGCGGCGUGCUUAACACAUGCAAGUUGAGCGAGGAUGGUUCGAGAGACUUAUGUUGAUUGGGACAUUCAAGCAGCGGACGGGUGAGUAAAGCACAAGGACUUGUCCGAAAGAGAGGGACACCUGCGGGAAACCGGAGCUAAUACCUCAUAAGCCGGAAGGUGAAAAGCAGAGAUGCGCUUUUGGAGAGACUUGUGUCCUAUCAGGCAGUUGGUGAGGUAACGGCUCACCAAACCGAAGACGGGUAGCCGGACUGAGAGGUCGACCGGCCACAUUGGAACUGAGAGACGGUCCAGACUCCUACGGGAGGCAGCAGUGGGGAAUAUUGGGCAAUGGGCGCAAGCCUGACCCAGCGACGCCGCGUGAGGGAAGACAGCCUUCGGGUUGUAAACCUCUGUUGCAGGGGAAGAAGGAAGUGACGGUACCCUGCGAGGAAGCUCCGGCUAACUACGUGCCAGCAGCCGCGGUAAUACGUAGGGAGCGAGCGUUGUCCGGAAUUACUGGGCGUAAAGGGCGCGUAGGCGGCGCUUCAAGUCGUCUGUCAAAAGCCGAGGCUCAACCUCGGCGCGCAGACGAAACUGGAGAGCUUGAGAAGCAGAGAGGCAAACAGAAUUCCUGGUGUAGCGGUGAAAUGCGUAGAUAUCAGGAAGAAUACCAGUGGCGAAGGCGGUUUGCUGGCUGCAUACUGACGCUGAAGCGCGAAAGCCAGGGGAGCAAACGGGAUUAGAUACCCCGGUAGUCCUGGCAGUAAACGAUGUAAGGUGGGUGUGGGACUAGCGAUAGUUCCGUGCCGAAGUUAACGCGAUAAGCAU
This 820-nucleotide ribosomal RNA is filed under the name uncultured bacterium. RNAcentral's name for it is "bacterial SSU rRNA". It matches the Rfam family "Bacterial small subunit ribosomal RNA", at positions 28 to 867 of the family's 1533-position model. The record is from RNAcentral.